This 199-nucleotide long non-coding RNA is filed under the name Carica papaya (papaya). RNAcentral's name for it is "long non-coding RNA (CPAP_LNC012563)". Lineage: Eukaryota; Viridiplantae; Streptophyta; Magnoliopsida; Brassicales; Caricaceae. The record is from RNAcentral.
UUACACUUAUGCCCCUUUUUUAGGUAUUACAUGUACAUGGCUUACCCACUCACUAUCUAAAAUUGGGAAACUAAUCCCUGCAUCCAAGAUUUUAAUCACUUCAGCCUUCACUACAUCUUUCAUGUGAGGCUUUAACCUAUGUUGAUACUUGAUAGAAGACUUGUAGUUAUCUUCUAUUAAAAUUUUAUGCAUGUAAAGU